GCAAGAUACCACGGGCGCACGGCGGAUGCCUUGGCACAGGGAGCCGAUGAAGGACGCGGCAAGCUGCGAUAAUCCCCGGCGAGGAGCACACAUCCUUCGACCCGGGGGUCUCCGAAUGGGCGAACCCAUCCACAGAGGUGUGGAUAUCCCCACCCCGAACGCAUAGGGGCGGGGAGGACAACCCGGGGAACUGAAACAUCUAAGUACCCGGAGGAGAGGAAAUCAAUCUCGAGACUCCCCGAGUAGCGGCGAGCGAAAGGGGACCGAUGGCCAAACCGUCGAGCGGGCAUACCCGGCAGGGGUUCCGCCGGCGGGGUUGCAGGGCCGCGCAUCCGGGGGCUGCCGCCCCCGGGCGCAGGUCCGGCUGGGGAGCGGAACGGCAUGGGAGGGCCGGCCGCAGCGGGUGACAGCCCCGUACGCGAACCCAGACCGGACGGCGCGACGCGGUCCCUGAGUAGGGCCGGGCACGUGAAACCCGGUCCGAACCUGGGUGGACCACCAUCCAAGCCUGAGUACUACCCUGUGACCGAUAGCGCACCAGUACCGUGAGGGAAAGGUGAAAAGCACCCCGAGAGGGGAGUGAAACAGUACCUGAAACCGUGCGCCCACAAGCAGUCGGAGCAGCCUUUGCGCUGUGACGGCGUGCCUUUUGUAGAAUGAGCCAGCGAGUCGCUGGCGCGGGGCGAGGUUAACCGGAAGGGAGCCGAAGCGAAAGCGAGCCUUAACAGGGCGACUUGAGUCCCGCGCCGCGGACGCGAAGCCGGGUGAGCUAUCCGUGGGCAGGCUGAAGCGGGGGUAAGACCCCGUGGAGGGCCGAACGCACGUCGGUUGAAAACGGCGGCGAUGACCUGCGGAUAGGGGUGAAAGGCCAAUCAAACCCGGAGAUAUCUCGUUCUCCCCGAAAUAGCUUUAGGGCUAGCGUCGCGCGUUCACCGCCGGAGGUAGAGCACCGGAUGGACGAGGGGGCUUCGCCGCCUACCGAAUCCAACCGAACUCCGAAUGCCGGCGGCCCAGAGCGCGGCAGUCAGAGCAUGUGGGCUAAGCUGUGUGCUCGAGAGGGAAACAGCCCGGACCGCCCGCUAAGGUCCCCAAGUUCCAGCCGAGUGGCAAAGGAUGUGCGUCCGCCCAGACAACCAGGAUGUUGGCUUAGAAGCAGCCAUUCAUUCAAAGAGUGCGUAACAGCUCACUGGUCGAGUGGACAUGCGCCGACAAUACACGGGGCUAAGCUGGACACCGAAGCGGCGGGAUUUUGAUUUACAGAAUCGGUAGGGGAGCUUCCCAUGGGCGGGGAAGCCGCCGGGCGACCGGCGGUGGAGCGCAUGGGAGUGAGAAUGCUGGCAUGAGUAGCGAGAGACGAGAGAGUAACUCGUCCGCCGUGAACCCGAGGUUUCCUGGGCAAGGCUAAUCCUCCCAGGGUCAGUCGGGGGCUAAGGCGAGGCCGGUAGGCGUAGCCGACGCGCAGCAGGCAGACAUUCCUGCACCGCGCACGGGGCGCUACCCCCGACGGGGCGACGGAUGGGGGUGGCUCGGCGGGGUUCUGGACGUCCCCGUGAUGGAGCGCGGCCCGCGGACCAGGGAAAUCCGGUCCGCACACAGGGCGAGGCUCCGGACGAAGCACUUAAGCGAAGCGAGUGAGCCCGAGGUCCCUAGAAAAACCCCUAGGCAGGCGCGUGCGCGCCCGUACCGCAAACCGACACAGGUGGGUGGGUAGAACAUACCGAGGCGAUCGGGUCAACCAUGGUCAAGGAACUCGGCACAAUGGCCCCGUAACUUCGGGAGAAGGGGUGCCCGCGCGUACGUGAACCGGCUUGCCCGGGGAGCGGAGGCGGGCCGCAGUGGAGAGGCCCAAGCGACUGUUUACCAAAAACACAGGACUCUGCAGAAGCCGCAAGGCGACGUAUAGGGUCUGACGCCUGCCCGGUGCCGGAAGGUCACGCGGAGGAGUUAGCGCACCGCGCGAAGCCCCGAAGCCAAGCCCCGGUAAACGGCGGCCGUAACUAUAACGGUCCUAAGGUAGCGAAAUUCCUUGUCGGGUAAGUUCCGACCUGC
Molecule: ribosomal RNA, 2049 nt
Filed under: human gut metagenome
Description: bacterial LSU rRNA
Rfam family: Bacterial large subunit ribosomal RNA
Source: RNAcentral